UAUCUACUCCCUCCGUUCCAAAUUACUUGUCGCAUAAAUGGAUGUAUCUAGAACAAAAAUACAUCUAGAUACAUCCAUACCCAUGACAAGUAAUUUGGAACGGAGGGAGUAUAAU
This is a non-coding RNA of Triticum urartu, 115 nucleotides long. Lineage: Eukaryota; Viridiplantae; Streptophyta; Magnoliopsida; Poales; Poaceae. The record is from Rfam.